UUGAAAGGGAAACGAUUGAAGUCAGUCGUACCAGCGGGAAAUCAACCUUUCGAGUGGGGGUUUUGGAGUUUUGAAGAGUGUCAAAACCUUUGAGAUUUCAAAAUAUUCGCUCUUUUGGUGUACUUUCUCGUGGGUAGGUUAACAUCGAUUUUGAUCAUCAUAAAAAGAUUGGAGGAAUGUAGCUUCGAUCUUGUAUUGAAGUGUUAUAGCCUUUGGUAAAUGUGAUGAUUAGGAUCGAGGAUUGCAGCGAAUACCCUUUUGGGCUAUCCGCCUGAUCUCUGAUACGUGGCCUUGGUAUCGAAAGCUUGCUUAUGGUAUUAAGGUAUUACGGUCAAAAGGUUAGAACGGGUUAAAUUCGUUAAGGAUGUUGACGUA
RNAcentral lists this ribosomal RNA (375 nucleotides) under uncultured Glomeromycotina. RNAcentral's name for it is "LSU rRNA". Lineage: Eukaryota; Fungi; Glomeromycota. The record is from RNAcentral.